CGGGACGGGUGAGUAAUGUAUGGGGAUCUGCCUGAUGGCGGGGGAUAACUACUGGAAACGGUAGCUAAUACCGCAUAAUGUCUACGGACCAAAGCGGGGGACCUCCGGGCCUCGCGCCAUCAGAUGAACCCAUAUGGGAUUAGCUAGUAGGUAAGGUAACGGCUUACCUAGGCGACGAUCCCUAGCUGGUCUGAGAGGAUGACCAGCCACACUGGAACUGAGACACGGUCCAG
This 233-nucleotide ribosomal RNA is filed under the name uncultured bacterium. Its description in RNAcentral is "partial 16S ribosomal RNA". It matches the Rfam family "Bacterial small subunit ribosomal RNA", at positions 100 to 334 of the family's 1533-position model. The record is from RNAcentral.